Molecule: ribosomal RNA, 449 nt
Filed under: uncultured bacterium
Lineage: Bacteria
Description: partial 16S ribosomal RNA
Rfam family: Bacterial small subunit ribosomal RNA
Source: RNAcentral
AACGAACGCUGGCGGCAUGCCUAACACAUGCAAGUCGAACGAGAUCUUCGGGUCUAGUGGCGCACGGGUGCGUAACGCGUGGGAAUCUGCCGUUUGGUUCGGAAUAACAGUUGGAAACGACUGCUGAUACCGGAUGAUGACGAAAGUCCAAAGAUUUAUCGCCAGAGGAUGAGCCCGCGUAGGAUUAGCUAGUUGGUGUGGUAAAGGCGCACCAAGGCGACGAUCCUUAGCUGGUCUGAGAGGAUGAUCAGCCACACUGGGACUGAGACACGGCCCAGACUCCUACGGGAGGCAGCAGUGGGGAAUAUUGGACAAUGGGCGAAAGCCUGAUCCAGCAAUGCCGCGUGAGUGAUGAAGGCCUUAGGGUUGUAAAGCUCUUUUACCCGGGAUGAUAAUGACAGUACCGGGAGAAUAAGCUCCGGCUAACUCCGUGCCAGCAGCCGCGGUAA